This 314-nucleotide ribosomal RNA is filed under the name uncultured bacterium. RNAcentral describes it as "partial 16S ribosomal RNA". It matches the Rfam family "Bacterial small subunit ribosomal RNA", at positions 495 to 808 of the family's 1533-position model. The record is from RNAcentral.
GUAUAAGAGACAGCAGCCGCCGCGGUAAUACGGAGGGGGCUAGCGUUGUUCGGAAUUACUGGGCGUAAAGCGCACGUAGGCGGCUUUGUAAGUUAGAGGUGAAAGCCCGGAGCUCAACUCCGGAAUUGCCUUUAAGACUGCAGAGCUAGCAGGUGAGAGAGGUGAGUGGAAUUCCGAGUGUAGAGGUGAAAUUCGUAGAUAUUCGGAAGAACACCAGUGGCGAAGGCGGCUCACUGGCUCAUACUGGACGCUGAGGUGCGAAAGCGUGGGGAGCAAACAGGAUUAGAUACCCCAGUAGUCCCUGUCUCUUAACA